Molecule: long non-coding RNA, 277 nt
Organism: Papaver somniferum (opium poppy)
Lineage: Eukaryota; Viridiplantae; Streptophyta; Magnoliopsida; Ranunculales; Papaveraceae
Exons: 3
Source: RefSeq, a predicted model, not a curated record
CUUCUCAGAUCCAAAUCGGGAGAGCUGCUAGAAGAGAUUUUUUUUCUUGGGUUUUUAUCGACGAACGGGAGAUUAGUUAUUUCGAUUUUGUUUGUUUAACCGAGAUUUGAUGAAGACAAUCAACAAAGAAUCAAUCAAGGUUCAAUAUGUCCAACGGAUACAUACUCUAUGUGUAAGCAGUGCGGCAUAUACAUACCCAGAUUUGCAAGUAGUAUAGCAGAUAUGUACUCAGAUUUGUAAGCAGUUUAGCAGAUAUGUACUCAAAUUUGUAAGCAGU